Ochotona princeps (American pika) is the source of this 105-nucleotide small nuclear RNA. The record is from RefSeq and is a predicted model, not a curated record. NCBI's taxonomy places the organism in Eukaryota, Metazoa, Chordata, Mammalia, Lagomorpha, Ochotonidae.
UGUUCACUUUGGCAACACAUACACAAAGCUGGAACUAUACAGAGAAGAUUACCAUGGCCCCUAGACAAAGAUGACAUGCAAAUUCAUGAAGCGUUUCAUGUAAAA